This 103-nucleotide small nuclear RNA is filed under the name Meriones unguiculatus (Mongolian gerbil). Lineage: Eukaryota; Metazoa; Chordata; Mammalia; Rodentia; Muridae. The record is from RNAcentral.
CCACCUGAUGUAAUACUGGGAAUAUUAAAGUUGAUACCAUGCAGAGAUUAGCAUGGCCCCAUGCAAGGAUGACAUGAAAAUUCAUGAAGGGUUCCAUAUUUUU